RNAcentral lists this ribosomal RNA (597 nucleotides) under Kocuria sp. RNAcentral describes it as "bacterial SSU rRNA". It matches the Rfam family "Bacterial small subunit ribosomal RNA", at positions 311 to 917 of the family's 1533-position model. Lineage: Bacteria; Bacillati; Actinomycetota; Actinomycetes; Micrococcales; Micrococcaceae. The record is from RNAcentral.
CACUGGGACUGAGACACGGCCCAGACUCCUACGGGAGGCAGCAGUGGGGAAUAUUGCACAAUGGGCGCAAGCCUGAUGCAGCGACGCCGCGUGAGGGAUGACGGCCUUCGGGUUGUAAACCUCUUUCAGCAGGGAAGAAGCCACAAGUGACGGUACCUGCAGAAGAAGCGCCGGCUAACUACGUGCCAGCAGCCGCGGUAAUACGUAGGGCGCAAGCGUUGUCCGGAAUUAUUGGGCGUAAAGAGCUCGUAGGCGGUUUGUCGCGUCUGCUGUGAAAGCCCGGGGCUCAACCCCGGGUCUGCAGUGGGUACGGGCAGACUAGAGUGCAGUAGGGGAGACUGGAAUUCCUGGUGUAGCGGUGAAAUGCGCAGAUAUCAGGAGGAACACCGAUGGCGAAGGCAGGUCUCUGGGCUGUUACUGACGCUGAGGAGCGAAAGCAUGGGGAGCGAACAGGAUUAGAUACCCUGGUAGUCCAUGCCGUAAACGUUGGGCACUAGGUGUGGGGGACAUUCCACGUUCUCCGCGCCGUAGCUAACGCAUUAAGUGCCCCGCCUGGGGAGUACGGCCGCAAGGCUAAAACUCAAAUGAAUUGACGGA